This 202-nucleotide transfer-messenger RNA is filed under the name Myxococcota bacterium. RNAcentral describes it as "partial transfer-messenger RNA". It matches the Rfam family "transfer-messenger RNA", at positions 1 to 210 of the family's 374-position model. Rfam says of the family: Bacterial tmRNA, also known as 10Sa RNA or SsrA, is named for its dual tRNA and mRNA-like properties. Its role is to liberate the mRNA from a stalled ribosome. Lineage: Bacteria; Pseudomonadati; Myxococcota. The record is from RNAcentral.
GGGGGCGACUUGGCUUCGACGGGGCUGCAGUACGCCGAGGUUGCGUGUCGAGGUUGCUUGGAACCUCGUAAAACACCGAGCAAAAACAACUUAGCUGCGAACAAUAACGACAGCUUCGCUCUCGCGGCAUAAGCGAGAGUCGUUCGAUUCAGGUGCACCAGGGUGCCUGCUUCGGGCGUGUUCAAUCCUGGAUAGUCCAGAG